This 492-nucleotide ribosomal RNA is filed under the name uncultured bacterium. Its description in RNAcentral is "partial 16S ribosomal RNA". It matches the Rfam family "Bacterial small subunit ribosomal RNA", at positions 29 to 507 of the family's 1533-position model. The record is from RNAcentral.
AGUGAACGCUGGCGGUAGGCCUAACACAUGCAAGUCGAACGGCAGCACAGUAAGAGCUUGCUCUUACGGGUGGCGAGUGGCGGACGGGUGAGGAAUACAUCGGAAUCUACUUUUUCGUGGGGGAUAACGUAGGGAAACUUACGCUAAUACCGCAUACGACCUACGGGUGAAAGCAGGGGAUCUUCGGACCUUGCGCGAUUGAAUGAGCCGAUGUCGGAUUAGCUAGUUGGCGGGGUAAAGGCCCACCAAGGCGACGAUCCGUAGCUGGUCUGAGAGGAUGAUCAGCCACACUGGAACUGAGACACGGUCCAGACUCCUACGGGAGGCAGCAGUGGGCAAUAUUGGACAAUGGGCGCAAGCCUGAUCCAGCCAUACCGCGUGGGUGAAGAAGGCCUUCGGGUUGUAAAGCCCCUUUGUUGGGAAAGAAAAGCAGCAGGUUAAUACCCCGCUGUUCUGACGGUACCCAAAGAAUAAGCACCGGCUAACUUCGUG